Molecule: long non-coding RNA, 1143 nt
Filed under: Ornithorhynchus anatinus (platypus)
Lineage: Eukaryota; Metazoa; Chordata; Mammalia; Monotremata; Ornithorhynchidae
Description: lncRNA (ENSOANG00000050681.1)
Source: RNAcentral
CCCUGUGUGAUUGUGGAAGGGAAAUUGUAAGUUUCUGAGGGCCUCGUACUGAAGGUUUUGUUUCCGUUGUUCUCUCCCACUCAGUAUUGUGUGUUUGUUUGUUUUAUGGUACUUGUUAAGCACUUACUCUGGGUCAAACACCGUACAAGUUAAUUAGGUUGGACACAGUCCCUGUUCCACAUGGAGGCUCACAGUUUUAAGUAGGAGGGAGAACAGAUUUUGAACCCCCAUUCUGCAAUUGAGGAAACUGGAGCACAAGUGACCUCCUCAAGGUAACACAACAAGCAAUUGAAGGAGCUGAGAUUAUAAUCGAAUCCAGGUCCUCUGACCCCCAAGCCCGAGUGCCUUCCACUAAGCCACACUGCUCCUGCUUGGCACUCAGUGGGCACUCAAUAAAAAGUACUGAUUGAUCGACAGGUGUCAGGCAUCACCCCUAUGACCCGGCCCCUCUGAUUCAGGACGAACCUCCGGCACGUGAUCGACUCCUAGCCCACAUGACAUUUGAAGAGCCACUCAAGAAGCAGAGAGCAAAGACCAACGGUCCCGUUGAGAACAGGGGAAAGAAGAGCUGUUGAAAAUGAAGGAGCUGGCUCUGUGAGGUAGGGAGCAAAAGAUGUGCACGUGGUAUUUGGAGGAAAAGGACACGGCAAAGAAACUAUCAGCAGAUGGUCAAGGGCUCUCCCUGGGGCUGGAUGCCAGCUUUAUCCUCGGAUUCCCAUGACUCUCUGAAAUAAAAUCCACGUUCCAUUGAAAUCCUCUGCCAGUUCCGCUUCAGACCCAAAUGUGCUUCCUGGUAGCUCUGGCCUGUCCUUUGGGCAGGGAGAGAAGGGAAACCGUCUGGUGUUACCAGUGACCCGUUUGGACAACAGGACUGACUCAGGAUCAUGGCUCGUAUCAGAUUAUGUCAAAUGAGAGGCUAGAGGAAAGAGCACGGGCCUUGGAGUUAGAGGAUCUGGAUUAAUCAUAACAGUAAUCAUGAUAAUUAUGGUACUUGUUAAGGGCUUACUAUGUGCCAAGCACUGUUCUAAACGCUGAGGUAGAUACAAGUGAAUCGGGUUGGACACAGUUUCUAUCCCACAAUCACACUCUUAUUCCCCAUUUUCCAGAUGAGGUAACUGAGGCCCAGAGAAGUGAAAUGAGCUA